GCCGGGAUGGCCGAGCGGACUAACCGUCACAAGGUUCAAAGGCGCAGGCCUUGAGAGCCUGUGGCCCUUAUGGGCCUCGAGGGUUCAAAUCCCUCUCCCGGCGCCA
RNAcentral lists this transfer RNA (106 nucleotides) under Candidatus Bathyarchaeota archaeon. Its description in RNAcentral is "tRNA-Ser". It matches the Rfam family "tRNA". From Rfam's summary of the family: Transfer RNA (tRNA) molecules are approximately 80 nucleotides in length. Their secondary structure includes four short double-helical elements and three loops (D, anti-codon, and T loops). The record is from RNAcentral. Lineage: Archaea; Thermoproteati; Candidatus Bathyarchaeota.